GGCUCAGUUCAGAUCGUAGGCUGCAACUCGCCUACGUGAAGUAGGAAUCGCUAGUAAUCGCAGGUCAGCAUACUGCGGUGAAUACGUUCCCGGGCCUUGUACACACCGCCCGUCACACCAUGGAAGUUGGCCAUGCCCGAAGUCGUUACUCCAACCCUUGUGGAGGAGGACGCCGAAGGUGGGGCUAAUGACUGGGGUGUAGUCGUAACAAGGUAGCCGUACCGGAAGGUGCGGCUGGAUCACCUCCUAA
Molecule: ribosomal RNA, 250 nt
Filed under: uncultured cyanobacterium
Lineage: Bacteria; Bacillati; Cyanobacteriota
Description: partial 16S ribosomal RNA
Rfam family: Bacterial small subunit ribosomal RNA
Source: RNAcentral